UGGAUCCAGACUUUGAUCCUGGCUCAGGAUGAACGCUGGCGGCGUGCCUAACACAUGCAAGUCGAACGAAGCUUGACGGAUGAUUUCUUCGGAAUGAAACCUGAUAUGACUUAGUGGCGGACGGGUGAGUAACACGUGAGCAACCUGCCUUUCAGAGGGGGAUAACGGCUGGAAACGGUCGCUAAUACCGCAUGACGUGUUCGGAUGGCAUCAUCUGAACAUCAAAGAUUUAUCGCUGAAAGAUGGGCUCGCGUCUGAUUAGAUAGUUGGUGGGGUAACGGCCUACCAAGUCUACGAUCAGUAGCCGGACUGAGAGGUUGAACGGCCACAUUGGGACUGAGAUACGGCCCAGACUCCUACGGGAGGCAGCAGUGGGGAAUAUUGCACAAUGGGGGAAACCCUGAUGCAGCAACGCCGCGUGAAGGAUGACGGUUUUCGGAUUGUAAACUUCUUUUCUUAGUGACGAAGACAGUGACGGUAGCUAAGGAAUAAGCAUCGGCUAACUACGUGCCAGCAGCCGCGGUAAUACGUAGGAUGCAAGCGUUAUCCGGAUUUACUGGGUGUAAAGGGAGCGCAGGCGGGACUGCAAGUUGGAUGUGAAAUACCGUGGCUUAACCACGGAACUGCAUCCAAAACUGUAGUUCUUGAGUGAAGUAGAGGCAAGCGGAAUUCCGAGUGUAGCGGUGAAAUGCGUAGAUAUUCGGAGGAACACCAGUGGCGAAGGCGGCUUGCUGGGCUUUAACUGACGCUGAGGCUCGAAAGUGUGGGGAGCAAACAGGAUUAGAUACCCUGGUAGUCCACACUGUAAACGAUGAUAGCUAGGUGUGGGGGGUCUGACCCCUUCCGUGCCGGAGUUAACGCAAUAAGCUAUCCACCUGGGGAGUACGACCGCAAGGUUGCAACUCAAAUGAAUUGACGGA
Molecule: ribosomal RNA, 920 nt
Filed under: uncultured Bacillota bacterium
Lineage: Bacteria; Bacillati; Bacillota
Description: bacterial SSU rRNA
Rfam family: Bacterial small subunit ribosomal RNA
Source: RNAcentral